Molecule: ribosomal RNA, 611 nt
Filed under: Stypopodium zonale
Lineage: Eukaryota; Phaeophyceae; Dictyotales; Dictyotaceae
Description: partial 26S large subunit ribosomal RNA
Rfam family: Eukaryotic large subunit ribosomal RNA
Source: RNAcentral
CUAAGCAUAUAACUAAGCGGAGGAAAAGAAACUAACAAGGAUUCCCCUAGUAACGGCGAGUGAAGCGGGAAGAGCUCACGGUGAAAAUCGAGCCCUCGGGCCCGAAUUGUAGUCUGAAGAGGCGAGGCCUGCCACUGUCCGUGGCCAAGUCUGAUUGGAAAUGAGCAUCAUGGAGGGUGACAAUCCCGUUCAUGUCGCGGUAUCGAUCAGUGCGCAGAAGGCCCGUUUUCUACGAGUCGAGUUGCUUGGGAUUGCAGCUCAAAGCGGGUGGUAAACUCCAUCGAAAGCUAAAUAUGGGGGGGAGACCGAUAGCGAACAAGUACCGUGAGGGAAAGAUGCAAAGAACUUUGAAAAGAGAGUUAAAGAGUGCCUGAAAUUGCUGGAAGGGAAGCGAAGGAAAGAGGUGUGCGGUAGUCGGAGCGCCAACCCCCAUCUGCCUUCGUGGUGUGGGGGUAGGCCGCUUCGCCGCGGUCAGGGGUAGCGCUUGGGUCGCGUGAGGAUCCGUGCGGGAUCGGUAGCCCUCCCCUCUCGGGGAGGGUGUCAGGCCUGCACGGCACCGCGUCGCGGCUUCCCGGCCCCCUUUUCUGGCGGUUGCCGCUUUUCUUCACCCC